CAGAGAAAACAGAGGAGAUACAGAGAGAGAAGGAAAUAAAAAUAGGAGGAUCUGAAGCACACAGAAAUAGGAAUGACAGACAUUCUUGUCACAUUAACACAUCUACAGGGUUACUUAUUAUAAACCAAUAAGUAAUAAUUGAUAACGAGAUAUGAGCACCACUAUUUCUGAUGAGAAAAGAACUAUAUAUAUGUCGGCAGCUGUGACUAGUCGCACACCUGCAUCUCUUUCCAGCAGAUAUUUUGACAAACGUCAUAUUGCGCCACAGCCGAGCCUAGUUGGCAGUUGGGUCCUGAGCGUGUAACGCUGCUGCAUGCCAAUUUUAGUUCAUUGCACAAAAAGUGUAAAUAAAAAAUGGCAUGAGUGUAUACACAUGCGAGUAAAUAGAGAGAGCUGGCUGUGUGUUUGUAUAUAAACACAGGCAUACAAAGUUUAUUUCGAAAUAAAUUAUAAAAAAAACAAAAUACUCUCAUAUCCCAAAACACUCACGAAACCGCAUCUGAUUACGGACAUGUAAUCAUUUAUUAAGAAAACAGAUAUAUAUCUGGAACUGUAGUGUCCCAAAACGGAUAGAAUUAAACAAUCUCUAGGCUCGUGAGAUGGCAAGGUGUAGGAUAACUACCUACGUCAGCGGUCACGUGCUCCAUUUCCAAACAUGUUCCAUACAUACACCUUAUCACAUAUCGCAUGUUCCCUCGGCAACCGUUACCACACCAAGACCAAGGGCAGCUUCCCCGGCAACCGGUAUCAGACCAGAACAAGAACAGGCCUAAGGCAACGUUAAUUCCCAGACCGCGCGGCGUUCGGGGAAGGGUGGGCAGCGUGCGAGGGUAGGAAAGUGGCGGGCGCCUCAACAGAGGUCUGACGCGAGGGUAGCGCGCGGGGCCCUGUGCGAGGUCAGCCGCUCGCACCUCCCUGCCCCGUAGACGCCGGCCAGCAACAACGCCCGCGCCACUCUCGCCCCUUCGACCUACAAGUAGUUAUCCUCUGCUGAUGCAACACCAUAAAGAACGUUGAACGCACACAAUUAGUAAAAAAAAAAAAAAAAAAAAAAAAAA
Penaeus chinensis is the source of this 1058-nucleotide long non-coding RNA. RefSeq lists it as uncharacterized. The record is from RefSeq and is a predicted model, not a curated record. Lineage: Eukaryota; Metazoa; Arthropoda; Malacostraca; Decapoda; Penaeidae. The transcript has 2 exons.